AGGUUAAGUUACAAAGGGCGCACGGUGGAUGCCUUGGCACUAGGAGCCGAUGAAGGACGGAACUAAUACCGAUAUGCUUCGGGGAGCUAUAAGUAAGCUUUGAUCCGGAGAUUUCCGAAUGGGGGAACCCAGUACACAUCAGUGUAUUGCUUGUCAGUGAAUACAUAGCUGGCCGGCGGCAGACGCGGGGAACUGAAACAUCUCAGUACCCGCAGGAAGAGAAAGAAAACUCGAUUCCCAUAGUAGCGGCGAGCGAAGUGGGAAGAGCCCAAACCGAGAAGCUUGCUUCUCGGGGUUGUAGGACUGGACAUUGGAGUUACCAAAGUCCGACGUAGUCGAAGUCAGCUGGAAAGCUGCGCCACAGAAGGUGAAAGCCCUGUAAGCGAAACGUCGAACCCUCCGUCCAGGAUCCUGAGUACGGCGGAACACGUGAAAUUCCGUCGGAAUCCGGGAGGACCAUCUCCCAAGGCUAAAUACUCCCUAGUGACCGAUAGUGAACCAGUACCGUGAGGGAAAGGUGAAAAGCACCCCGGAAGGGGAGUGAAACAGUUCCUGAAACCGUGUGCCUACAAUUAGUCAAAGCCCGUUAAUGGGUAAUGGCGUGCCUUUUGUAGAAUGAACCGGCGAGUUACGUUUGCUUGCGAGGUUAAGAUGAAAAGUCGGAGCCGUAGCGAAAGCGAGUCUGAACAGGGCGAAUGAGUAAGCAGAUGUAGACCCGAAACCAAGUGACCUACCCAUGACCAGGUUGAAGGUGUGGUGAAACACACUGGAGGACCGAACCCAUGUAUGUUGAAAAAUGCUGGGAUGAGUUGUGGGUAGCGGUGAAAUUCCAAACGAACUUGGAGAUAGCUGGUUCUCUCCGAAAUAGCUUUAGGGUUAGCCUCGGAGGAUGGAUCAUGGAGGUAGAGCACUGUUUGAACUAGGGGCCCAUCAAGGGUUACUGAAUUCAGAUAAACUCCGAAUACCAUCGAUCUUACUCCGGGAGUCAGACAGUGAGCGAUAAGGUCCAUUGUCGAAAGGGGAACAGCCCAGAUCACCAGUUAAGGUCCCUAAAUUUAUGCUAAGUGGAAAAGGAUGUGGCGUUGCACAGACAACUAGGAUGUUGGCUCAGAAGCAGCCACCAUUUAAAGAGUGCGUAAUAGCUCACUAGUCGAGUGGCACUGCGCCGAAAAUAUACCGGGGCUAAGCAUAAUACCGAAACUGUGGGUGCACCCGUAAGGGUGCGCGGUAGGAGAGCGUUCUAAGGGCGUUGAAGGUCGAUCGUGAGGACGGCUGGAGCGCUUAGAAGUGAGAAUGCCGGCAUGAGUAGCGAAAGAUCAGUGAGAAUCUGAUCCACCGUAUGACUAAGGUUUCCUGGGGAAGGCUCGUCCUCCCAGGGUUAGUCGGGAUCUAAGGCGAGGCCGAGAGGCGUAGUCGAUGACAAGCAGGUUGAGAUUCCUGCACUAGUUUAUUUUGUUUAAGCGAUGGAGGGACGCAGGAGGCUAAGGAAAGCGCACGGCUGGAAAUGUGCGCCCAAGCA
RNAcentral lists this ribosomal RNA (1519 nucleotides) under Lacticaseibacillus paracasei. RNAcentral's name for it is "Lactobacillus paracasei partial 23S ribosomal RNA". It matches the Rfam family "Bacterial large subunit ribosomal RNA", at positions 1 to 1518 of the family's 2925-position model. The record is from RNAcentral. Lineage: Bacteria; Bacillati; Bacillota; Bacilli; Lactobacillales; Lactobacillaceae.